AUAUCAAUAAGCGGAGGAAAAGAAACCAACUGGGAUUGCCCUAGUAACGGCGAGUGAAGCGGCAAUAGCUCAAAUUUGAAAUCCCACGGCCCCCCUUGGGGAGUGCGAGUUGUAAUUUAGAGAGGAUGCUUCGGACCUGAACGGCGGUCUAAGUCCCUUGGAACAGGGCGCCAGAGAGGGUGAGAGCCCCGUCUUCGGCCGCGAGUCCCGUCCGUGUGAAGCGCCUUCGACGAGUCGCGUUGUUUGGGAAUGCAGCGCUAAAUGGGUGGUAAGUUUCAUCUAAAGCUAAAUAUCAGUCAGAGACCGAUAGAGAACAAGUAGAGUGAUCGAAAGGUGAAAAGAACUUUGAAAAGAGAGUUAAACAGAACGUGAAAUUGUUGAAAGGGAAGCGCUUGCAGCCAGACUUGGGGACGGAGAUAGAUUACCAAAGGAUCACCCCGACAGCCAAGCUUCGGGGCCCUGCGGGUCUUCUGUAGGAGUAUUUAACGAAAAGCCCCGCUCUCCAGGCCAGCACGGGUUCGGGCAGCCAGAUAAAGGCCCCCGGGAAUGUAUCAGCCCCUCCGGGGGUCUUGACUUAUAGCCCGCGGGCGGCAUGUGGCUCGCCCGGACCGAGCAGACCAACUGCGCGGAUGCUAGGCGUAAUGGCUGUAAGCGACCCGUCUUGAAACACGGGCCAAGGAGUCUAACAUCUAUGCGAGUGUUCGGGUGGGCAAAACCCUUGCGCGUAAUGAAAGUGAACGGAGGUAGGAGACCCGCUGUGCGGGUUGCACUAUCGGCCGAUCCUCAUGACAAAACGGAUGGAUUUGAGCUAGAGCAUAGCUGUUGGGACCCGAAAGAUGGCGAACUAUGCGUGUAUAGGGUGAAGUCAGUGGAAACACUGAUGGAGGCCCGCAGCGGUUCUGACGUGCAAAUCGAUCGUCAAAUAUGCG
This 929-nucleotide ribosomal RNA is filed under the name Pyrenula infraleucotrypa. RNAcentral's name for it is "LSU rRNA". It matches the Rfam family "Eukaryotic large subunit ribosomal RNA", at positions 40 to 915 of the family's 3401-position model. The record is from RNAcentral. Lineage: Eukaryota; Fungi; Ascomycota; Eurotiomycetes; Pyrenulales; Pyrenulaceae.